GCCAGAGGUUCGGUUCUUAUCGUUGCUUUUAUGUGGCCCUCCAUUUCCAUUGUAUCGCGAAAGAAUUCGUUUUAUUCGGUACAACGAUCGAGAACGUUUGACAAGGAUCGGGAGAGCA
Molecule: long non-coding RNA, 118 nt
Organism: Frieseomelitta varia
Lineage: Eukaryota; Metazoa; Arthropoda; Insecta; Hymenoptera; Apidae
Exons: 3
Source: RefSeq, a predicted model, not a curated record